This 1016-nucleotide ribosomal RNA is filed under the name Georgenia muralis. RNAcentral describes it as "bacterial SSU rRNA". It matches the Rfam family "Bacterial small subunit ribosomal RNA", at positions 331 to 1356 of the family's 1533-position model. Lineage: Bacteria; Bacillati; Actinomycetota; Actinomycetes; Allobogoriellales; Allobogoriellaceae. The record is from RNAcentral.
CCAGAUUCUACGGGAGGCAGCAGUGGGGAAUUUUGCACAAUGGGCGCAAGCCUGAUGCAGCGACGCCGCGUGAGGGAUGACGGCCUUCGGGUUGUAAACCUCUUUCAGUAGGGAAGAAGGCCUUCGGGUUGACGGUACCUGCAGAAGAAGCGCCGGCUAACUACGUGCCAGCAGCCGCGGUAAUACGUAGGGCGCAAGCGUUGUCCGGAAUUAUUGGGCGUAAAGAGCUCGUAGGCGGUUUGUCGCGUCUGCUGUGAAAACGCGAGGCUUAACCUCGCGCCUGCAGUGGGUACGGGCAGACUAGAGUGCGGUAGGGGAGACUGGAAUUCCUGGUGUAGCGGUGGAAUGCGCAGAUAUCAGGAGGAACACCGGUGGCGAAGGCGGGUCUCUGGGCCGUUACUGACGCUGAGGAGCGAAAGCAUGGGGAGCGAACAGGAUUAGAUACCCUGGUAGUCCAUGCCGUAAACGUUGGGCACUAGGUGUGGGACCCAUUCCACGGGUUCCGUGCCGCAGCUAACGCAUUAAGUGCCCCGCCUGGGGAGUACGGCCGCAAGGCUAAAACUCAAAGGAAUUGACGGGGGCCCGCACAAGCGGCGGAGCAUGCGGAUUAAUUCGAUGCAACGCGAAGAACCUUACCAAGGCUUGACAUACACCGGAAACAUCCAGAGAUGGGUGCCCCGCAAGGUCGGUGUACAGGUGGUGCAUGGUUGUCGUCAGCUCGUGUCGUGAGAUGUUGGGUUAAGUCCCGCAACGAGCGCAACCCUUGUCCUGUGUUGCCAGCGGGUUAUGCCGGGGACUCAUGGGAGACUGCCGGGGUCAACUCGGAGGAAGGUGGGGAUGACGUCAAAUCAUCAUGCCCCUUAUGUCUUGGGCUUCACGCAUGCUACAAUGGCCGGUACAAAGGGUUGCGAUGCCGCGAGGUGGAGCGAAUCCCAAAAAGCCGGUCUCAGUUCGGAUUGGGGUCUGCAACUCGACCCCAUGAAGUCGGAGUCGCUAGUAAUCGCAGAUCAGCAACG